GGGGGAGCGCAGGAUCCUGGGCUGUGUCCCUGGCGCCUGCACCGCUGGAAUUGCGCUCCUGGGGCCUCGCAGGCCCUC
This 78-nucleotide microRNA precursor is filed under the name Canis lupus familiaris (dog). RNAcentral's name for it is "mir-8799 microRNA precursor family". It matches the Rfam family "mir-8799 microRNA precursor family". Lineage: Eukaryota; Metazoa; Chordata; Mammalia; Carnivora; Canidae. RNAcentral also lists the same sequence under 1 other name. The record is from Rfam by way of RNAcentral.